Small nuclear RNA from Cavia porcellus (domestic guinea pig), 177 nucleotides. It matches the Rfam family "U2 spliceosomal RNA". Rfam says of the family: U2 is a small nuclear RNA (snRNA) component of the spliceosome (involved in pre-mRNA splicing). Complementary binding between U2 snRNA (in an area lying towards the 5' end but 3' to hairpin I) and the branchpoint sequence (BPS) of the intron results the bulging out of an unpaired adenosine, on the BPS, which initiates a nucleophilic attack at the intronic 5' splice site, thus starting the first of two transesterification reactions that mediate splicing. NCBI's taxonomy places the organism in Eukaryota, Metazoa, Chordata, Mammalia, Rodentia, Caviidae. The record is from Rfam.
AUUGCUUCUUGGCCUUUUGGCUAAGACCAAGUGUAGUAUCUCUUCUUCUCAGUUCAAUACUUGAUAUGGCUCCUAUCCAAAGAAAACAUGUGAAGUGGACUUUUGAGAAACACUAUUUGGUUUCAUUUAUACUGACAGUUUAUCUUAGUUCAUUGAAAGGAAAUGUUAUGAUCUGUU